RNAcentral lists this ribosomal RNA (252 nucleotides) under uncultured bacterium. RNAcentral describes it as "partial 16S ribosomal RNA". It matches the Rfam family "Bacterial small subunit ribosomal RNA", at positions 524 to 776 of the family's 1533-position model. The record is from RNAcentral.
UACGGAGGGUGCGAGCGUUGUCCGGAAUCACUGGGCGUAAGGGCGCGUAGGUGGCGCGACAAGUCAACGGUGAAAGCUCGGCGCUCAACGCCGAGUCGGCCGUCGAUACUGUCGGGCUGGAGCACUGUAGAGGCAGAUGGAAUUCCGGGUGUAGCGGUGGAAUGCGUAGAGAUCCGGAAGAACACCGGUGGCGAAGGCGGUCUGCUGGGCAGUAGCUGACACUGAGGCGCGACAGCGUGGGGAGCAAACAGG